This is a non-coding RNA of Mycena sp. CBHHK59/15, 86 nucleotides long. NCBI's taxonomy places the organism in Eukaryota, Fungi, Basidiomycota, Agaricomycetes, Agaricales, Mycenaceae. The record is from the annotation of a GenBank genome assembly.
GCCCUUGUAGCUCAGUGGUAGAGCGCAGCACUUGUACUAAAUUGUAAUUUAUGCUGAGGUCAGUCGUUCAAUCCGGCUCCGGGGCA